Cinara cedri is the source of this 262-nucleotide non-coding RNA. The record is from the annotation of a GenBank genome assembly. Lineage: Eukaryota; Metazoa; Arthropoda; Insecta; Hemiptera; Aphididae.
UGAAAAGUAUUUUUCUAACUCGGCCGUCGUAAUACGGGCGUUGUCGAUUCGCACCAAAACUGACCCCGAGUGCAUACAACGUUCGUAAUUUGCACCGAAACGGAGACAACGCACCCGCCAUCUCAGGUAGUAAGAUGUGGGAUUUGUGUAGUGUUGAAAUUUAAAUCGAUUGUUCUUUCGAUAGUGUCUACGCACAAGUUUCGAUAGCAGAGUGCCCGUAUAACAUAAGAAUUUAGACACGGGAAACUUAAGACACAGGAUG